UCCUCGGUAGCUCAACGGCAGAGCAACCGGCUGUUAACCGGUUGGUUGCUGGUUCAAAUCCAGCCCGAGGAG
This 72-nucleotide transfer RNA is filed under the name Chloroflexota bacterium. RNAcentral describes it as "tRNA-Asn". It matches the Rfam family "tRNA". Rfam says of the family: Transfer RNA (tRNA) molecules are approximately 80 nucleotides in length. Their secondary structure includes four short double-helical elements and three loops (D, anti-codon, and T loops). Further hydrogen bonds mediate the characteristic L-shaped molecular structure. tRNAs have two regions of fundamental functional importance: the anti-codon, which is responsible for specific mRNA codon recognition, and the 3' end, to which the tRNAs corresponding amino acid is attached (by aminoacyl-tRNA synthetases). tRNAs cope with the degeneracy of the genetic code in two manners: having more than one tRNA (with a specific anti-codon) for a particular amino acid; and 'wobble' base-pairing, i.e. permitting non-standard base-pairing at the 3rd anti-codon position. Lineage: Bacteria; Bacillati; Chloroflexota. The record is from RNAcentral. RNAcentral also lists the same sequence under 2 other names.